RNAcentral lists this ribosomal RNA (260 nucleotides) under uncultured prokaryote. Its description in RNAcentral is "partial 16S ribosomal RNA". It matches the Rfam family "Bacterial small subunit ribosomal RNA", at positions 524 to 784 of the family's 1533-position model. The record is from RNAcentral.
UACGUAGGCGGCAAGCGUUAUCCGGAAUUAUUGGGCGUAAAGAGCGCGCAGGUGGUUGAUUAAGUCUGAUGUGAAAGCCCACGGCUUAACCGUGGAGGGUCAUUGGAAACUGGUCGACUUGAGUGCAGAAGAGGGAAGUGGAAUUCCAUGUGUAGCGGUGAAAUGCGUAGAGAUAUGGAGGAACACCAGUGGCGAAGGCGGCUUCCUGGUCUGUAACUGACACUGAGGCGCGAAAGCGUGGGAGCAAACAGGAUUAGAUA